RNAcentral lists this long non-coding RNA (2262 nucleotides) under Zostera marina. RNAcentral describes it as "long non-coding RNA (ZMAR_LNC001219)". The record is from RNAcentral. Lineage: Eukaryota; Viridiplantae; Streptophyta; Magnoliopsida; Alismatales; Zosteraceae.
GCAGACGAAACAUUCCAGCAAUUUCCGGCCGGCGUCUCCUUCAGAAGUCGAAGCAUUUCUUCACCGGAUUCUCGAUUCCACCGCGUGAUCCAUGGUCUUAACAUGAAGAUGGAUCUUGAUCUGCAAUUAGUGUUCAGCAAUGUGUAUUUUUCUGGUUAGUAUCUAAAAUUGUUUUAACUUCGUAGUGAUAUUUUUAAAUAGUAUGUUUAGAGAAUGAGAAGGUGAUGCGCUAAUUCCUAGUUCCUAUUAAUACAUGUGCGAGGCUUAAUUGGCAUUCCUGAGGAAUGUUGGGCCUCUAUCUUUUAACAAUAUGGAAUGUAGUGAAAUAAUUCCAUUGGUUUGGAAUCUAGGCAAAGAAGAAUUUAAGCAUACUUAAUGCUUAAGCCUGUAUAUCCGUUGGAUUCGGCUCGGAUAUCUAGGUAUCUGAAUUCGGAUAAUCCGAAUCCAACUGAAAAAAAUCCGGAUAGGAAAAUCUGAAUCCGGAUAACUUUUUAUAAAAAAUUUAAAAUAAAAUUAUAAAAAUAUAAAAUUAUUGUUAAUAAAGUUAAUCAAUAGUCAAUUAAUUACCAUAAAAUCUGGAUAUCCGGAAGUUAAUUUAUAUUUAUUCGGAAUCCGAAAUUCUUAAACGAAUUCGGAUUUUGACGACAGAUUUUUUGGAUAUCCGAAUCCGUCCGGAUAAAAUUCAGAUAUUAAUUUAGUUAUCCGAAUCCGAAAAUAGUCAUUCGAAUAAAGAUAUGAAUACGAAUUUCGUAUACCAUUUUUAGUAAUACUCAAUGGCAAUGAUGAUACUUGAUAGUAAGCAAGGGUGGUGGAAUCUUUGAGAAUCCAAAAAGGGAAAAACUUGAUUAGAUGCCGACGUCCAUCAUGUCAUAUGAAUUAAGUUUUGCAUCUGUCUCUGCCAUAUCAUCAAUAAGAGCAUCAAAUUCUUUCUACUUGGGAAUGACAAUUGAAACCCACCUGAUCUGAUUGUUUACCCAACGCCUCCAAAAUUUAUCAAUUGAUCUAUGAUCAAACACAGAGAGAGAAACCCACAAUUAUCAACAAUUAGUUGAUAAAUCUCCUUCACUCUAUUGAGCUUGUACUGUAGUAUUCUCUAAUCAUGGACCUGUCGCCCUGAUUGCUAAGUUUCUAUUGGGUGGUUUUAGUAAGUAUUGUCUUUUUCAGUUUUUUAACUGAUAGAGAUUGACCAAGGUGAGGCGGAAUGGAUACUGUAAACAGAGCUCCGGUGGACACCCGAAGAAGUUGGUCCGACCAGUCUGAUAGAGAAUGACAGUCCAGGUCGGCCCACGAGAGCGAAACAAUCCACGCGGCGAACUGAUUACAAGUACACAUAGAUCGUAGUAGUUGGUAGUUAGUACAGCUGGAGUAGUUAAAGAUACUUAGUCGUUAAUAAAUUUGUUUAGCUUAAUUGGGUAUAAAUAACCAAACAAUGUAAACAAUUAGAUUAUCCAAAGUAUUAUUUCCUUUGCUUCAAAAAAAAAAAGUAUUAUUUCCUUUUGGUAAUCCUCUCUUCUUCCUCGGGAUCCUCUGUGAUAUGUCCUGGACCACCUUCGGCCCCUCAGGGAGUUCUCUCAUCGAUUCAUCUGCCCUCGACGACUUGGUCCGACCGCUGAUCGACUACGAGCCGAUCACCACUGUCACAUUAUUCUUCAAAAAACUGAUAGAAUCGAACGUGCGGAAUAUAAAAAGAAAGGUACCUCUGAGUUGAAACAAUAGCCGAUGGGGUUGUGAUGUGAAGAUAAUGUCAGCAAGAAUGGAGAUUCGGAGAUAGGGAAGAGAGGCAGGUGGAAUCUAUCGGCCAGACGAUGAUUUGGAAUCCACCAGAGGUCAAUAACAAAUUAAGGAGGGAAGUCGAGAGAUGGAAGGCAGUUGUUACCUGGAAAACGGCAGAUAGUACUUCUUCAAAUCUUCUACGUUGAAGUUGUGCGGCAUAUUGAAUUCCUCCGACAAAUCGACAAUGUAUGCAUUGUCAUUAAUCUUCCUCAAUAUUUGAAUAACUCCCUAUCGGAAAACGACCCUUUCUCAAAUGUACCAUAACUUUCAUCUCCCAUUGAGAACACCACUUCUUUUUUCUUUUUAUCUGCUAUUUUCACUGUUAACUUCUAAAUUCUGACGGAGCUCGAACCCAAAAAAUAGACUUGUUCAAUAAACGAGCCUAGCUCAAGUCAUCCUAGACUCAAGUUCUCCAGUCGAAUGGAGAGAAAAAUUUCAGCUGACUAAAGAAGGAAUUCAGGCAACUAGGGGAUUUUUUUAAGAAAAAAC